UACGAAGGGGGCUAGCGUUGCUCGGAAUCACUGGGCGUAAAGCGCACGUAGGCGGAUCCUUAAGUCGGGGGUGAAAUCCUGGAGCUCAACUCCAGAACUGCCUUCGAUACUGAGGAUCUCGAGUCCGGGAGAGGCGAGCGGAACUGCGAGUGUAGAGGUGAAAUUCGUAGAUAUUCGCAAGAACACCAGUGGCGAAGGCGGCUCACUGGCCCGGUACUGACGCUGAGGUGCGAAAGCGUGGGGAGCAAACAGG
This 253-nucleotide ribosomal RNA is filed under the name uncultured bacterium. RNAcentral's name for it is "partial 16S ribosomal RNA". It matches the Rfam family "Bacterial small subunit ribosomal RNA", at positions 524 to 776 of the family's 1533-position model. The record is from RNAcentral.